RNAcentral lists this small nuclear RNA (102 nucleotides) under Chelonia mydas (Green sea turtle). The record is from RNAcentral. Lineage: Eukaryota; Metazoa; Chordata; Testudines; Cheloniidae.
GAGCUUCGGCAGCACAUAUACUAAAAUUGGAAUGAUACAGAGAAGAUUAGCAUGGCCCCUGUGCAAGGAUGACACCAAAUGCGUGAAGCAUUCCAUAUUUUU